Molecule: ribosomal RNA, 506 nt
Filed under: uncultured bacterium
Lineage: Bacteria
Description: bacterial SSU rRNA
Rfam family: Bacterial small subunit ribosomal RNA
Source: RNAcentral
GAGUUUGAUCCUGGCUCAGGACGAACGCUGGCGGCGUGCCUAACACAUGCAAGUCGAACGGAGUUGAACGGAGCUUGCUUUUUUCAACUCAGUGGCGGACGGGUGAGUAACGCGUGAGUAACCUGCCUUUCAGAGGGGGAUAACGUUCUGAAAAGAACGCUAAUACCGCAUAAGAUUGUAGUUUCGCAUGGAGCAGCAAUCAAAGGAGCAAUCCGCUGAAAGAUGGACUCGCGUCCGAUUAGAUAGUUGGCGGGGUAACGGCCCACCAAGUCGACGAUCGGUAGCCGGACUGAGAGGUUGAUCGGCCACAUUGGGACUGAGACACGGCCCAGACUCCUACGGGAGGCAGCAGUGAGGGAUAUUGGGCAAUGGGGGAAACCCUGACCCAGCAACGCCGCGUGAAGGAAGAAGUAUCUCGGUAUGUAAACUUCUAUCAGCAGGGAAGAUAAUGACGGUACCUGACUAAGAAGCCCCGGCUAACUACGUGCCAGCCGCCGCGGUAAUUC